RNAcentral lists this ribosomal RNA (484 nucleotides) under uncultured bacterium. RNAcentral describes it as "partial 16S ribosomal RNA". It matches the Rfam family "Bacterial small subunit ribosomal RNA", at positions 30 to 507 of the family's 1533-position model. The record is from RNAcentral.
AUUGAACGCUGGCGGCAGGCCUAACACAUGCAAGUCGAGCGGAUGAAGGGAGCUUGCUCCUGGAUUCAGCGGCGGACGGGUGAGUAAUGCCUAGGAAUCUGCCUGGUAGUGGGGGAUAACGUCCGGAAACGGGCGCUAAUACCGCAUACGUCCUGAUGGAGAAAGUGGGGGAUCUUCGGACCUCACGCUAUCAGAUGAGCCUAGGUCGGAUUAGCUAGUUGGUGGGGUAAAGGCCUACCAAGGCGACGAUCCGUAACUGGUCUGAGAGGAUGAUCAGUCACACUGGAACUGAGACACGGUCCAGACUCCUACGGGAGGCAGCAGUGGGGAAUAUUGGACAAUGGGCGAAAGCCUGAUCCAGCCAUGCCGCGUGUGUGAAGAAGGUCUUCGGAUUGUAAAGCACUUUAAGUUGGGAGGAAGGGCAGUAAGUUAAUACCCUGCUGUUUUGACGUUACCAACAGAAUAAGCACCGGCUAACUUCGUG